This 318-nucleotide ribosomal RNA is filed under the name uncultured eukaryote. RNAcentral describes it as "partial 18S ribosomal RNA". It matches the Rfam family "Eukaryotic small subunit ribosomal RNA", at positions 1470 to 1796 of the family's 1831-position model. The record is from RNAcentral.
CCCUUAGAUGUUCUGGGCCGCACGCGCGCUACACUGAUGGCGGCAGCGAGUCCUUCCUGGACCGACAGGUCUGGGUACACUUGUGAAACGCCAUCGUGCUAGGGAUAGAGCAUUGCAAUCUUGCUCUUGAACGAGGAAUCCCUAGUAAGCGCAAGUCAUCAGCUUGCGUUGAUUACGUCCCUGCCAAUUGUACACACCGCCCGUCGCUACUACCGAUUGAAUGGCUUAGUGAGAUCUCCGGAUCGGCGCCAUGGUGUCUGCCGUGGUGCUGAGAAGCUGCUCAAACUUGGUCAUUUAGAGGAAGUAAAAGUCGUAACA